CAGAGUAGGAAUGCGCGCGUACAGUGCCGCCCCGACGGGGAGUUGCGGAGCGGACGAAAGGGCUUUGCCCUGCGGUGCGUAUUCCGCAUCCCGCUG
This 96-nucleotide non-coding RNA is filed under the name human gut metagenome. RNAcentral describes it as "THF riboswitch". It matches the Rfam family "THF (Tetrahydrofolate) riboswitch aptamer". Rfam says of the family: THF riboswitch presents a pseudoknot that joins P1-P2 and the loop of P3 and two THF binding. The record is from RNAcentral.